GACGAACGCUGGCGGCGUGCUUAACACAUGCCAGUCGAACGGAAAGGCCUCUUUCGGGGGGUACUCGAGUGGCGAACGGGUGAGUAACACGUGAGUAACCUGCCCUUGACUUUGGGAUAACUUCAGGAAACUGGGGCUAAUACCGGAUAGGAGCUCCUGCUGCAUGGUGGGGGUUGGAAAGUUUCGGCGGUUGGGGAUGGACUCGCGGCUUAUCAGCUUGUUGGUGGGGUAGUGGCUUACCAAGGCUUUGACGGGUAGCCGGCCUGAGAGGGUGACCGGCCACAUUGGGACUGAGAUACGGCCCAGACUCCUACGGGAGGCAGCAGUGGGGAAUAUUGCACAAUGGGUGGAAGCCUGAUGCAGCAACGCCGUGUGCGGGAUGACGGCCUUCGGGUUGUAAACCGAUUUCGCUCAUGACGAAGCUUUGUGUGACGGUAGUGGGUAAAGAAGCACCGGCUAACUACGUG
RNAcentral lists this ribosomal RNA (467 nucleotides) under uncultured bacterium. RNAcentral describes it as "partial 16S ribosomal RNA". It matches the Rfam family "Bacterial small subunit ribosomal RNA", at positions 28 to 507 of the family's 1533-position model. The record is from RNAcentral.